GCUGCUUUACCCGCUUUUACUUGUAACUCUGGCCUCAGAUCAGGUAGGACUACCCG
This 56-nucleotide ribosomal RNA is filed under the name Tremellales sp. RNAcentral's name for it is "partial 28S ribosomal RNA". Lineage: Eukaryota; Fungi; Basidiomycota; Tremellomycetes; Tremellales. The record is from RNAcentral.